This 233-nucleotide ribosomal RNA is filed under the name uncultured bacterium. RNAcentral describes it as "partial 16S ribosomal RNA". It matches the Rfam family "Bacterial small subunit ribosomal RNA", at positions 102 to 334 of the family's 1533-position model. The record is from RNAcentral.
ACGGCUGAGUAACGCGUGGGUGACGGUACCUGUUAGUGGGGAAUAACUGCCCGAAAGGGUGGCUAAUUCCGCAUACGCCCAGUUUUCGUUGGACUGGGGAAAGCCUUGCAAAAGGCGCUAAUGGAGCGGCCGCGUUCGAUUAGCUGGUUGGUGGGGUAACGGCCUACCAAGGCGACGAUCGAUAGCUGGUCUGAGAGGAUGAUCAGCCACAUUGGGACUGAGACACGGCCCAA